RNAcentral lists this ribosomal RNA (497 nucleotides) under uncultured bacterium. RNAcentral's name for it is "partial 16S ribosomal RNA". It matches the Rfam family "Bacterial small subunit ribosomal RNA", at positions 28 to 507 of the family's 1533-position model. The record is from RNAcentral.
GAUGAACGCUGGCGGCGUGCCUAAUACAUGCAAGUCGAGCGAACGGACGAGAAGCUUGCUUCGCUGAUGUUAGCGGCGGACGGGUGAGUAACACGUGGAUAACCUACCUAGAAGACUGGGAUAACUUCGGGAAACCGGAGCUAAUACCGGAUAAUAUUUUGAACCGCAUGGUUCAAAAGAGAAAGACGGUCUUGCUGUCACUUAUAGAUGGAUCCGAGCUGCAUUAGCUAGUUGGUAAGGUAACGGCCUACCAAGGCAACGAUGCAUAGCCGACCUGAGAGGAUGAUCGGCCACACUGGAACAGAGACACGGUCCAGACUCCUACGGGAGGCAGCAGUAGGGAAUCUUGCGCAAUGGGCGAAAGCCUGACGCAGCAACGCCGCGUGAGUGAAGAAGGUCUUCGGAUCGUAAAACUCUGUUAUUAGGGAAGAACAUCUGUGUAAGUAACUGUGGACAUCUUGACGGUACCUAAUCAGAAAGCCACGGCUAACUACGUG